GGCCGUCUGGCGCAAUGGCAGCGCGUCCGCCUACGAUUCCCACGCUAGCGGGAGGUUGCAGGUUCAACCCCUGCGUCGGUCA
Molecule: transfer RNA, 82 nt
Organism: Tulasnella calospora
Lineage: Eukaryota; Fungi; Basidiomycota; Agaricomycetes; Cantharellales; Tulasnellaceae
Rfam family: tRNA
About the family: Transfer RNA (tRNA) molecules are approximately 80 nucleotides in length. Their secondary structure includes four short double-helical elements and three loops (D, anti-codon, and T loops).
Source: Rfam